Molecule: ribosomal RNA, 253 nt
Filed under: uncultured bacterium
Lineage: Bacteria
Description: partial 16S ribosomal RNA
Rfam family: Bacterial small subunit ribosomal RNA
Source: RNAcentral
UACGUAGGGGGCAAGCGUUGUCCGGAUUUAUUGGGCGUAAAGAGCGUGUAGGCGGCCAUACAGGUCCGUUGUGAAAACUGGAGGCUUAACCUCCAGACGUCGAUGGAAACCGUAUGGCUAGAGUCCGGAAGAGGAGAGUGGAAUUCCUGGUGUAGCGGUGAAAUGCGUAGAUAUCCGGAGGAACACCGGUGGCGAAGGCGGCUUCCUGGACCGACACUGACGCUGAGGCGCGAAAGCUAGGGGAGCAAACGGG